AGGCCUGAAGAGAGAGGCAGGGUCUUAUCCACAGCAUCUGUGGCAGCUGUUGAUCAACCAUUGCCUCUCUCUUUCUCUCUG
Non-coding RNA from Myotis brandtii (Brandt's bat), 81 nucleotides. The record is from Rfam. Lineage: Eukaryota; Metazoa; Chordata; Mammalia; Chiroptera; Vespertilionidae.